Molecule: long non-coding RNA, 522 nt
Organism: Cervus elaphus (red deer)
Lineage: Eukaryota; Metazoa; Chordata; Mammalia; Artiodactyla; Cervidae
Exons: 3
Source: RefSeq, a predicted model, not a curated record
CGUCCAAGCGAUUUUCCAGGCAAGAGUACUGGAGUGGGUUGCCAUUGCCCUCUCUGAAUUCUAAGAGCAUCUGUCUACAAAGAAUAACAUGGUGCUGAUUCCUCCAGAGACAGGACGGUCACCUUGUCCUGGAGGAUCCUUGUGACGAUGCUCAGGGCUGUCCAGGUAACCAGAGGAUCUUCGGUCUCAAGAUGCUCAACUUAAUCACACCUGCCAAGUGCACUCUACAGAAGGAAGGUGGGAGCAUCUGAACCGGCAGGUGCGUCUUCAGAGUCCUCGGAGAAGGCAUCUUGUUGGCGAGAUCCAGACCUGCAACAAGGCCGCUGCUCAACUAACACUUCUCAUCCACAUCUCUGUUGUUUUGCCAGCAUCUGGAGUCACACUCACCAUGUGCUCGGUACCCCCUACCUGACUCCACAUUACAAAUUACAUCCUAGGCUGGUGGCCUGCCCAGUGUCACCAAGUUAUAUGUCUUCAUAUAAAGCUACAGUCAUCAAACAGUGUGGUAUUGGCAUAAGGAGG